CUCCAGUAGGGCCCAAGCCAGCCUGGAAGGAGGAGGCAGCCAGAGUGGCCACCACUGGUCUCUGCAGCAGAAGACCCCUUGCUGCCAGGCAGAUAGAUGUCUGACUUGGCCAUAUGGUGAUGAAGGCUGUGACACUCCUUGGAUAUCUUUCUGUGCUGUUUCAAAGAUUUAGACAAAGAGCAUGUCAAGUGCUAGAAGAGGAAAAGACAGCAGAUGGAGACCUCAACUGAGUUCUUGUGUGCAGGCUGUGUUGGUUGGACUGCAGGUUGUGAUGCUGCUGAUGGGCCCGCUUUCUCCAUUCAGGUUGAUGGCAGUGACAUUGGGAGGAGUAAUAGCGGCUGCUGCUGAAGGCAUUGUGAUUCUUGAGUUUGUCUUGUGGGCCUUCCUGGAAAGCUGCAAGUGCUUGAAAGAAAAGAGGAGCUGGAUCAAGUCUGCAAAUUCAGAAGGCAGGAGUUUCAAGUUGGACAGUUUUUUCUUUGUUCCAAAGCUGUUUGGAUCAGUUAAAAAUUGGACUUUCUAAAGAAAAAGAGCGGGUGUGUGUGUAUGUAAGAAUAUGUUAACUGUUUCUCUAAAUGUAUAUUUGCAUAAAUAUACUUAUAUAACUUGUUUUACUUUUAAUACUCUUGCAAAUUUGAUUGCUGUUUGGGCCUUUAAGAACCCAUGUGUUACACUAAGAAUAUCAAACAUGGAAUAAACAGUAUUUUAAAAAAUCUGUGGGACAUGCAUUCAUUGCAAAUGACUGAAUACAUUUUGCAAUCUGCAGCCAAAACUAUCUGUACACUUAAUUUAGAAGCAAGUUUAUUUCCAAGCUAAUGUUUUCAGGAUUAGGGUGAUAUGAGGUUCUGUAGGAAUAGCCUCUUACAAAAGCUAUGAAGGUUACCUCAUUUAAUACCACAAAGUAAUCUUAAACCAGUAUUAUUUUCCAUACUUGACAUUUUCCAUCAGAUAGUUAUUACUGGGAGAGAUAUUUUCAGUAUAGUUUUAAACACUUCCAUUCAUAAAACUAUAAAGAGCAACAAGUUGUUUCUGUCACAUGGGAUUCAUGGGUCAUUACAGAACUGCAAGAAUGAAUUAACCCACCUGGUGCAAGAAGCUGCCUCACCUUCCUUUACAUUCAGACUCAUAUACAGUAUGACGUUCAUACAAUACCCCCAUCAUUAUGACAUACCCAGGAGAAAUUUUAAAAUCUUUGAAGGCUUCUCCUCCUUAGUAUUCUCCUAAGGAGAUGUGGAAUUUCAUUCCUUCUUCUGACUUCCUACUGCAUAGCUUUUAUCAAUGUAUUGUUUAUUAUAUAUGAAACCAUAUUCUCCAUUUUUAAAAAGCUAGAUCUCUGUCAUCUAUUAGUCUCCCUGAACACCCUGGGGUAGCACAAGUUGUUCACUCUAGGACUGAAACAAUCAAUUAACCCCCUCAUCCACAAUGUGGCACUUCUGCCAUAUGCUGAGUUAAAUAAAUUAAAAAUGCUCAGGACAAAUUAGAUAACUCUGCAGGAUAGCAAAGCAAAUUGGCAGCCAUCAGAAAACAACUCUGAAAAGCCUUUGAAUUGCCACAAGGAUAUUUAAUUAACUAUUGUUGCCAGUGCUGUGAAAGUAGUAUGGAUGUGUAUGCAGGGAAUUCUUCUUUGAAUUUCUGCAAUGCCAUCUAGGAAAAAGGUUCACUACAAAGGCAUAUUUUAUUUACAUGUAUUUAAAAAGGUAGCUGUAGUCAGAUCUCUGAAUUUAUCACUUGUGUUUGCUUUACAUAAUAAACACCUUUCAUCUUUCAAAGCUUAAUAAAAUGUUUUAAAAU
Molecule: long non-coding RNA, 1788 nt
Organism: Hemicordylus capensis (graceful crag lizard)
Lineage: Eukaryota; Metazoa; Chordata; Lepidosauria; Squamata; Cordylidae
Exons: 4
Source: RefSeq, a predicted model, not a curated record